This 465-nucleotide ribosomal RNA is filed under the name Vreelandella stevensii. RNAcentral describes it as "partial 16S ribosomal RNA". It matches the Rfam family "Bacterial small subunit ribosomal RNA", at positions 338 to 795 of the family's 1533-position model. The record is from RNAcentral. Lineage: Bacteria; Pseudomonadati; Pseudomonadota; Gammaproteobacteria; Oceanospirillales; Halomonadaceae.
CCUACGGGUGGCUGCAGUGGGGAAUAUGGGACAAUGGGGGCAACCCUGAUCCAGCCAUGCCGCGUGUGUGAAGAAGGCCCUCGGGUUGUAAAGCACUUUCAGUGAGGAAGAACGCCUGGUGGUUAAUACCCAUCAGGAAAGACAUCACUCACAGAAGAAGCACCGGCUAACUCCGUGCCAGCAGCCGCGGUAAUACGGAGGGUGCGAGCGUUAAUCGGAAUUACUGGGCGUAAAGCGCGCGUAGGUGGCUUGAUAAGCCGGUUGUGAAAGCCCCGGGCUCAACCUGGGAACGGCAUCCGGAACUGUCAAGCUAGAGUGCAGGAGAGGAAGGUAGAAUUCCCGGUGUAGCGGUGAAAUGCGUAGAGAUCGGGAGGAAUACCAGUGGCGAAGGCGGCCUUCUGGACUGACACUGACACUGAGGUGCGAAAGCGUGGGUAGCAAACAGGAUUAGAUACUCCAGUAGUC